This 1430-nucleotide long non-coding RNA is filed under the name Felis catus (domestic cat). RNAcentral's name for it is "lncRNA (ENSFCAG00000049752.1)". Lineage: Eukaryota; Metazoa; Chordata; Mammalia; Carnivora; Felidae. The record is from RNAcentral.
CAAAAUUAAACAUACAUUUAAGAAAAUUAAAAAAAAAAUAAAAUCUUUACGGUUAGAUACAAUUUUGAGCGCUUCAAAAGUUUUUCCUCUGUGGAGGCAAGGUGGAGGCUCUUGCCUAGGUAUUGCAAGGGAGGAAUUUAGGUUACAUUUUCUGUCAGAGGAGCACAUCAGCAUAAGGUAUCCCUAAAGUAGCACUGGGGAGCUAUCCAGCCACAUACCUACUCAUCCACCCACCUACUCACUAUCAUCUAUUCCACCAGCCAACAAACAUUUUUUUUGUUUUUGUUUUUUGAGUGCCCAGCAUGUGGUGUUCCCUGCUGUGUUCCUAAAUUGCAACGAUGAAUGACACGGUUCUCUCUAUUGUAUGUCAACGAGUUGGGGUGGGGUAAAUGGAGGAAAAAUGGCAAAACUUCGAUAACAGUCACAGCUGGGAGAUGAGUACUUGGGGGUUCAUUAUACCAAUUCUCCUGCUUUUUGGUGUCUUUGAUGAUUUUCCUAAUAAAGUUAGAUAGCUGUCCUGUUUCUCAAGAAAGGAAGUUAGAGUUGAUAGAUGCCUUUAUCACAAGGGCAAGUUCAGCUUUGAAGUUACACCCAGGGUAUUAGGAAGAAAGACCCUUGGAGCAGGGUGCAGAAAGUGGUCAAGAAAUGCCUCCUGGUGGAGGGUAACUGUUCUCUACAAGUCCGCACUCACAUUGAGUAAAGACGCCCAAAACCACAGGCCUGCCUUGACCUUAGGCUGAGCGGAGAAGGGCUACGAGAUCGGGGUCAGGAGUGAGAAACUGGCCUCUACCACAUACCAUCCCCUCAUCUACCUUUUCUUCUUUCCGUUUUGCUUCAAGUCAGCUGAGGUAAGUAGCUAUUUGGAUUUUUUGGGCAACACCUGAGCACCCACUAUAUGCCAGGUGCUGUACCAAGGCUUUGGAUUCGAUUCCGCAUAUACCAUUUUAUAGAAGAUGGAACCAGAAGUCCGGAAAUUCCCCAAGGUGUGGGGGACGUGACACAAGCAGGCGAGAGCACUUCAGGAGCCUGGUCCUUCCAACCCCAAGUCGUGGGAAACAGGAUCAGAGACCUUUAAACUGUCAAGAUCCUGGCACGAAGGGAGGGCUCCAUAAAUGGCAGCCAUCAUUCUUGGACAAGUGCCGGCACAUCCUCCGGGCGCGCCUCCCGCGGGGUCCCUCGGGACCGGCCGGGCCCGCCCCCGCGGCUCCGGUCUCGCAGUGCUCGCGGCAGGUGGCCCAGCAUCUCCGUGCCCACGCCCCGAAGCGAGCGGGGAGCGCGGGCGGGUUGGAUGACCAAGGUCUCCCCUGGAGGAUCGCCUCCCUCCCUCCACACGCCCGGCGCAGGUGAGGUUUCCGGCCCAGGCCACGGGGACAGCGACCCCGGGGAGAGGUCGUGGCGGACCGCGCGGCCCACGGCCGGGAGAGGGGUCC